RNAcentral lists this ribosomal RNA (280 nucleotides) under Fusobacterium mortiferum. RNAcentral describes it as "partial 16S ribosomal RNA". It matches the Rfam family "Bacterial small subunit ribosomal RNA", at positions 524 to 807 of the family's 1533-position model. The record is from RNAcentral. Lineage: Bacteria; Fusobacteriati; Fusobacteriota; Fusobacteriia; Fusobacteriales; Fusobacteriaceae.
UACGUAUGUCGCAAGCGUUAUCCGGAUUUAUUGGGCGUAAAGCGCGUCUAGGCGGUUUGGUAAGUCUGAUGUGAAAAUGCGGGGCUCAACUCCGUAUUGCGUUGGAAACUGCCAAACUAGAGUACUGGAGAGGUGGGCGGAACUACAAGUGUAGAGGUGAAAUUCGUAGAUAUUUGUAGGAAUGCCGAUGGGGAAGCCAGCCCACUGGACAGAUACUGACGCUAAAGCGCGAAAGCGUGGGUAGCAAACAGGAUUAGAUACCCCGGAUCCGGCUAUGACU